AGAGGACGUAUAGGGUGUGACGCCUGCCCGGUGCCGGAAGGUUAAUUGAUGGGGGUUAGCGAAAGCGAAGCUCUUGAUCGAAGCCCCGGUAAACGGCGGCCGUAACAAUAACGGUCCUAAGGUAGCGAAAUUCCUUGUCGGGUAAGUUCCGACCUGCACGAAUGGCGUAACGAUGGCGGCGCUGUCUCCACCCGAGACUCAGUGAAAUUGAAAUCGCUGUGAAGAUGCAGUGUACCCGCGGCAAGACGGAAAGACCCCGUGAACCUUUUACUAUAGCUUGACACUGGACUCUGACCUGACUUGUGUAGGAUAGGUGGGAGGCUUUGAAGCCGGGACGCCAGUUCUGGUGGAGCCAUCCUUGAAAUACCACCCUGGUCAUGUCGGGGGUUCUAACUUGGGCCCGUAAUCCGGGUUGAGGACAGUGUCUGGUGGGUAGUUUGACUGGGG
RNAcentral lists this ribosomal RNA (447 nucleotides) under uncultured bacterium. RNAcentral's name for it is "bacterial LSU rRNA". It matches the Rfam family "Bacterial large subunit ribosomal RNA", at positions 1836 to 2279 of the family's 2925-position model. The record is from RNAcentral.